RNAcentral lists this transfer RNA (73 nucleotides) under Planctomyces sp. SH-PL14. RNAcentral's name for it is "tRNA-Val". It matches the Rfam family "tRNA". From Rfam's summary of the family: Transfer RNA (tRNA) molecules are approximately 80 nucleotides in length. The record is from RNAcentral. Lineage: Bacteria; Pseudomonadati; Planctomycetota; Planctomycetia; Planctomycetales; Planctomycetaceae.
GGUCCCGUGGUCCAGCGGCCACGACUCCUGGCUUACAUCCAGGCAACGAUGGUUCGAGUCCAUCCGGGAUCAC